This 549-nucleotide ribosomal RNA is filed under the name uncultured bacterium. Its description in RNAcentral is "partial 16S ribosomal RNA". The record is from RNAcentral.
UAACCUUGCGGCCGUACUCCCCAGGCGGUCUACUUAUCGCGUUAGCUUCGUUACCAAGAGAUCAAGUCUCCCGACAACUAGUAGACAUCGUUUACGGCGUGGACUACCAGGGUAUCUAAUCCUGUUUGCUCCCCACGCUUUCGUGCCUGAGCGUCAGUCUUUGUCCAGGGGGCCGCCUUCGCCACCGGUAUUCCUCCAGAUCUCUACGCAUUUCACCGCUACACCUGGAAUUCUACCCCCCUCUACAAGACUCUAGUUCGCCAGUUCGAAAUGCAAUUCCCAGGUUGAGCCCGGGGCUUUCACAUCUCGCUUAACAAACCGCCUGCGCACGCUUUACGCCCAGUAAUUCCGAUUAACGCUCGGACCCUCCGUAUUACCGCGGCUGCUGGCACGGAGUUAGCCGGUCCUUCUUCUGUAGGUAACGUCACAGCAACAGCGUAUUAAGCUGCUACCUUUCCUCCCUACUGAAAGUGCUUUACAACCCGAAGGCCUUCUUCACACACGCGGCAUGGCUGCAUCAGGGUUUCCCCCAUUGUGCAAUAUUCCCCA